AUUAAAAUUAAGUUUAAAUUUAAAAUUUCAAAUUUAAGCUUCUUGAGGGCAGAGACCAUGCUUUUGCUUUCUCUAUAUCACCAGGGCUUAACACAAUGCCAGCACAAAGUAUUAUUGCUUAAUAAAUGCUUGUUUGUUUCUUAUGCAGCCUGUGGAAAUUAGAUAAGGGUAGGAGGUGAGGAGGACACCACAGGAAUGAAUAUGACUCAGUAUUUUCCUGCCCUGGGUCUGAGAUCUUAUUAGUAACCGUCAUUUGCUCAAUGAAGUGAAUAAGGACACUAGAAAAGUGUCUAGGGGGCUUUCUCCAAUUAAGCAGAAGAAGCCUCAUCUGUCCAUUAGAUUAGAGAAUGAAGCCAGAGAUCACCCACCACCUUGAGAGUUUUGAAGUGCUCUAGGGAAAGAAGGAAAAGACUGUGUGCCAAGGGUACCAUUGGCUUUCAGUGUGAGAGGAAAAGCAAUAAAUUCUUCAGUCUGCUCCCUUCUCCUUAUUAUUGUGUGUCCUUCAUUCUGAAAGAAGACCAAUGACAUCAGGAAGAUGAUGUCUUGACUUGCAAGUGAAUUGAAUUUAAGUAAGGCAAGUCUGUGCAAAGUCGCCAGCCACCACCAUAAAGGUAUUCAGCAAUGCACGCUAAGCAAGUUUCCCGAAGUUGGUUUGAAUCUUCUAACCACGAAACAUCUUAGGAGCAUGGAACUCUGUCCCCUCCUCCUUCCCCACCCCCACUACCCCAUGGGAGCACACAUUUUUCCAGCCAGAUAAAGAAAGAAACAAAAUGGAGCGAGAGAGUCAGGGAGCCAAAGUUUUAUUAAGGACAUCUGAAUAUAACUGUCUAUGUGACUCUUUAAUUCCUCUCGAAGUUUCCAGAGCACAGGACAUAUGCUGGCCUAGCCUGGCUGUGCCAAUGGCAUUAACGUGGAGGACAUCAGAAGGAUGUUGGAUCCACUCCCAAACACAUCCUGAACCUCGCAGGCUGUGGGAAUGGAGAGUGUUUUCCAUGGACGCUCUGAGUUUUUGGAGUUAAUCAAGCAUUUUUAAUAGUCUCUUUGGGGAAACUGGUCUCUGUAUUUUUAAAACUUGCUAUUGUGUUCUGUUGUUAAGGUUUAAAUGGUCAUAAAGCAAGCAAAAAAUGAAAAGUGUGGUCCCUUAAAUUAACUCUCUAAAGGAAGAAAAGGAAAAAUGAGGACUGGGAGGAAACCAUAUAGGAGGCGUCUGAGAGUCCCCACAAAUUCUAAUAUGAUGCAGACACAAAGCAGGUCCGACCUAGGUCCUUCAUAAUAGGGCCAGAGCAUUAUGUAUGCUACCAUGCUGCCCAAGAAAGCUUAGGUUUGGGGUUUGGGGUUUUUUUGUUUGUUUUCUAAGCAGAACUCCAGAAUGAAAGGAUCCAUUUCUUUUUUUUCAAACUAGAAGAGAAGCUUAAAUUCAGCAAAGAAGAAUCUAGAAGAGAUGAGCCAUGGGUAGCAUAAUCAGACAGCCUGAGGCUUGAUAGGGUCCCACCACAAAAGUGAAAGGAGCACUGGACUGGCCACCAGAGGACCUGAGUCUGUAACUUAAGCAAGUGACUGAACCUCCCUGUGCCUGGUUUUCUCUUCUAUACAAUGAAGGGGGGUGGUGGCGUGGAACUAAAUGGCUUCUGAAGUCCCUUCUAGCUCUAUAGCAAUGAUCUUAAAUCUACAAGAUUAUCC
Long non-coding RNA from Phascolarctos cinereus (koala), 1680 nucleotides. The record is from Ensembl. NCBI's taxonomy places the organism in Eukaryota, Metazoa, Chordata, Mammalia, Diprotodontia, Phascolarctidae.